GAUGAACGCUAGCUACAGGCUUAACACAUGCAAGUCGAGGGGCAGCAUGAUUGAAGCUUGCUUCAAUCGAUGGCGACCGGCGCACGGGUGAGUAACACGUAUCCAACCUGCCGAUAACUCGGGGAUAGCCUUUCGAAAGAAAGAUUAAUACCCGAUAGUAUAGUAUUUCCGCAUGGUUUCACUAUUAAAGAACUUCGGUUAUCGAUGGGGAUGCGUUCCAUUAGAUAGUUGGCGGGGUAACGGCCCACCAAGUCAACGAUGGAUAGGGGUUCUGAGAGGAAGGUCCCCCAGAUUGGAACUGAGACACGGUCCAAACUCCUACGCGAGGCAGCAGUGAGGAAUAUUAGUCAAUGGACGAGAGUCUGAACCAGCCAAGUAGCGUGAAGGAUGACUGCCCUAUGGGUUGUAAACUUCUUUUAUACGGGAAUAAAGUGGGGUAUGCAUACUCCUUUGUAUGUACCGUAUGAAUAAGGAUCGGCUAACUCCGUG
RNAcentral lists this ribosomal RNA (489 nucleotides) under uncultured bacterium. RNAcentral describes it as "partial 16S ribosomal RNA". It matches the Rfam family "Bacterial small subunit ribosomal RNA", at positions 28 to 507 of the family's 1533-position model. The record is from RNAcentral.